Molecule: long non-coding RNA, 385 nt
Organism: Gadus macrocephalus (Pacific cod)
Lineage: Eukaryota; Metazoa; Chordata; Actinopteri; Gadiformes; Gadidae
Exons: 2
Source: RefSeq, a predicted model, not a curated record
AUCUACUUCCUGGAAAGGGGAGGUUGUUCACAGAAGACUACAUUGGUGACUGGUUCAGCUGUUUAGAGGAAAGAGGGUCACAGAUGUUAAAUGCUUGAUGAGUGGAAUUCUGCAUGUUGGGGUGUGUGUGUGUGUGUGUGUGUGUGUGUGUGUGUGUGUGUGUGUGUGUGUACACAUUAGAUACAGUAAGGUUUAGGGGGGAAAACAUGUGGAAUUCUCAUCUUUCAUCUUACAUCUUUCUCACACGUUCAAAUAUUCAUCUCAUGUCCUACGAUAUAUGGUUACCCCUUCGUAGUCUUAAUUUUUAUUGUUUCCAUCAUCUCAAGUUCAUUGAAAAAGAACGAUCUAAAUGACUCAACGUAACGCUGAGGCUCAGACAUUACAU